GUUGGGCACUGUGGCGCAUACCUGUAAUCCCAGCAGCUUGGGAGGCUGAGGCAGGAGGAUUGGGAGUUCAAAGCCAGCCUCAGUAAAACUGAGGUGCUAAGCAACUCAGUGAGACCCUGUCUCUA
This 125-nucleotide small RNA is filed under the name Marmota monax (woodchuck). Lineage: Eukaryota; Metazoa; Chordata; Mammalia; Rodentia; Sciuridae. The record is from RNAcentral.